Molecule: non-coding RNA, 572 nt
Organism: Gambusia affinis (western mosquitofish)
Lineage: Eukaryota; Metazoa; Chordata; Actinopteri; Cyprinodontiformes; Poeciliidae
Source: the annotation of a RefSeq genome assembly
UCCUAUCAGACACAGCUUGUUUCUUUUUGCUCUCUGGAUUAAAGGUUUGGUUCCUGUAACAUCAGAAUCUGCCGCUGACUAGACUGAACUUCAGCUCAUUCAAUCUGUGUUUCUAUCAGCAGGUCUAACAGAUGGCAGUGACGUUGUCACUCAGACUCCUCUGCUGUGGGUCAACCAGAGUCAGUCCACCACCAUGACCUGCAGUCACAAUAAAGACGCUACUUACUACCAGAUGUACUGGUAUCAGCAGCUGCCGGGUCAAAACAUUAAGCUAAUAGUUUUUACAACACCAUCUCCUCCAUUCCAGUAUGAAAAAGGCUUCAGCAAGGAGAAGUUUCCAGCGGACAGGAAGGACGCUCUGAGCGGAUCUCUGACGGUGAAGCAGCUGCAGCCUGAAGACAGCGGAGUGUAUUUCUGCUCCGUCAGUCAACACAGUGAUGAGGCCGAGUCAAAGAGCUGCACAAAAACCCAGCUGCUGGAGGCACAGUGAAGUUACACUUCAUCGGCAGCAGGGGGAGCUCUCAAUUCAAACUCUGUAGCAUCUCAACAUGUUUACAAAGGGCGGAGUAUUU